Molecule: long non-coding RNA, 721 nt
Filed under: Malus domestica (apple)
Lineage: Eukaryota; Viridiplantae; Streptophyta; Magnoliopsida; Rosales; Rosaceae
Description: long non-coding RNA (MDOM_LNC002553)
Source: RNAcentral
AGGUAUAUACGGAAAACCAAAAGCCCACUCAUUGAUAUGUCGAAGGGUCGUAGCCCUCGAGCCUCGAUUGAUGACACUCGUCCUCGGGAUAGGUCUCACCUAUAUGUGAAAUAACUGAAUAAAUGUUAUUUAAAGCACAUACACAAAACUAGGAAAUAACUUCUCAUACAUUGCUCAAAUGGGGUAUUUGAAUAUACCACCAUGACCUACUCAUCCUCAGAAACAUCCCCAUAUUUUUAGAAAUUUUUUUCGACCACUCACGCGCUGCCACGCGUGGGCCAAGGCACGGCCAGAUGAGCCCCCACGCGCGGCCAAACCCUAACUGAAACUUAACUGCCGUUAGGAAUAUUCCGUUAAACCUUAAUAGAAGUUAACGGCGUUACCUGACACCAUUAGAAUAUUCUGUCAGACUUGACAGAAUAUUCUCCUUCGUUUUCCUUGGUUUGCAGGAGAAUUUCGCCGGCGCCGCACGAUCACCGAAACUGGAAAAUAUAUAAACCUUCAUAUCUCGCUCAUUUUCCCACCAAAACUCAUGAAAUUUGUACCAAAAUGAAGCUUAGGACUAGAAGAACAAAACCUUACCACUUUCAAGCCUUGAAUUCCACGGAAUCUCGCCAGAGAAACCUCAAUAUUUCGGCCAAACUUGAAACUUGUCAAACUCAACUUCCCGACGUCCAAUUCACUUCGUUUUUCUUCUCCAAGCUUCGUGAAGAUGUCCUAA